Molecule: ribosomal RNA, 253 nt
Filed under: uncultured bacterium
Lineage: Bacteria
Description: partial 16S ribosomal RNA
Rfam family: Bacterial small subunit ribosomal RNA
Source: RNAcentral
UACAGAGGUCUCAAGCGUUGUUCGGAUUCAUUGGGCGUAAAGGGUGCGUAGGCGGCGCGGUAAGUCGGGUGUGAAAUCUCGGAGCUUAACUCCGAAACUGCAUUCGAUACUGCCGUGCUUGAGGACUGGAGAGGAGACUGGAAUUUACGGUGUAGCGGUGAAAUGAGUAGAUAUCGUAAGGAAGACCAGUGGCGAAGGCGGGUCUCUGGACAGUUCCUGACGCUGAGGCACGAAGGUCAGGGGAGCAAACGGG